AGGUGGAAAUUGAUGCAGGGACAUCACGAAGAUGGAAUGGUUCAGAUCCAAGCCCCCCUGAUUCUAAACGCCAAAAGGUUUUGCAAUGGUGAACUGCCUAAGUGAUAUUAGUAUUCCCAUUGAGGGCGUUACUUUCCAUCUUCAUAAGUGUGCCUUCUCUGGCAUGGUUCAUGUCAUAUCAAGAAACCAGUUUUGUCACUAUUUGUCAAAGGCUUUUUGCCAAUCCUCUCAGGGUGUGGUUUCACUAUGGCCAUCCAGAUGUAUUUGACAGAUCAUUUUUUAUGUAAUUAGAUGAUAUUGAAAUAUUGAAGUUGUU
This is a long non-coding RNA of Arachis ipaensis, 316 nucleotides long. RefSeq lists it as uncharacterized. NCBI's taxonomy places the organism in Eukaryota, Viridiplantae, Streptophyta, Magnoliopsida, Fabales, Fabaceae. The record is from RefSeq and is a predicted model, not a curated record.